RNAcentral lists this ribosomal RNA (492 nucleotides) under uncultured bacterium. RNAcentral's name for it is "partial 16S ribosomal RNA". It matches the Rfam family "Bacterial small subunit ribosomal RNA", at positions 29 to 507 of the family's 1533-position model. The record is from RNAcentral.
AGUGAACGCUGGCGGUAGGCCUAACACAUGCAAGUCGAACGGCAGCACAGUAAGAGCUUGCUCUUAUGGGUGGCGAGUGGCGGACGGGUGAGGAAUACAUCGGAAUCUACUUUUUCGUGGGGGAUAACGUAGGGAAACUUACGCUAAUACCGCAUACGACCUACGGGUGAAAGCAGGGGAUCUUCGGACCUUGCGCGAUUGAAUGAGCCGAUGUCGGAUUAGCUAGUUGGCGGGGUAAAGGCCCACCAAGGCGACGAUCCGUAGCUGAUCUGAGAGGAUGAUCCGCCACACUGGAACUGAGACACGGUCCAGACUCCUACGGGAGGCAGCAGUGGGGAAUAUUGGACAAAGGGCGCAAGCCUGAUCCAGCCAUACCGCGUGGGUGAAGAAGGCCUUAGGGUUGUAAAGCCAUUUUGUUGGGAAAGAAAAGCAGCAGGUUAAUACCCCGCUGUUCUGACGGUACCCAAAGAAUAAGCACCGGCUAACUUCGUG